GACGAACCGAGCGAACGUUGUUCGGAAUCACUGGGCUUAAAGGGUGCGUAGGCGGGCUUGUAAGUCAGUGGUGAAAGCCCGGAGCUCAACUCCGGAACUGCCAUUGAUACUGCAAGUCUUGAGUACACUUGAGGUGGGCGGAAUACAUCAUGUAGUGGUGAAAUACUUAGAUAUGAUGUAGAACACCGAUUGCGAAGGCAGCUCACUAAAUUGUAACUGACGCUGAGGCACGAAAGCGUGGGGAUCAAACAGG
This 253-nucleotide ribosomal RNA is filed under the name uncultured bacterium. Its description in RNAcentral is "partial 16S ribosomal RNA". It matches the Rfam family "Bacterial small subunit ribosomal RNA", at positions 524 to 776 of the family's 1533-position model. The record is from RNAcentral.